This 468-nucleotide ribosomal RNA is filed under the name uncultured bacterium. RNAcentral describes it as "partial 16S ribosomal RNA". It matches the Rfam family "Bacterial small subunit ribosomal RNA", at positions 28 to 507 of the family's 1533-position model. The record is from RNAcentral.
GACGAACGCUGGCGGCGUGCUUAACACAUGCAAGUCGAACGGAAAGGCCCUGCUUUUGUGGGUGGCUCGAGUGGCGAACGGGUGAGUAACACGUGAGUAACCUGCCCUUGACUUUGGGAUAACUUCAGGAAACUGGGGCUAAUACCGGAUAGGAGCUCCUGCUGCAUGGGGGGGGUUGGAAAGUUUCGGCGGUUGGGGAUGGACUCGCGGCUUAUCAGCUUGUUGGUGGGGUAGUGGCUUACCAAGGCUUUGACGGGUAGCCGGCCUGAGAGGGUGACCGGCCACAUUGGGACUGAGAUACGGCCCAGACUCCUACGGGAGGCAGCAGUGGGGAAUAUUGCACAAUGGGCGGAAGCCUGAUGCAGCAACGCCGCGUGCGGGAUGACGGCCUUCGGGUUGUAAACCGCUUUCGCCUGUGACGAAGCGUGAGUGACGGUAAUGGGUAAAGAAGCACCGGCUAACUACGUG